GUGACAAUGAACAGUCCUCGAGUCUGG
RNAcentral lists this non-coding RNA (27 nucleotides) under Cricetulus griseus (Chinese hamster). The record is from RNAcentral. Lineage: Eukaryota; Metazoa; Chordata; Mammalia; Rodentia; Cricetidae.